GGGGGAGCUAGCCGGAGUGAGGGAGUGUCGAUCAGUGAGUGUGUGUAUGUCAGUGAGUGUGUGUAUGUGUGUCUGUCAGUGUGUGUGUGUGUCUGUCUGUCAGUGAAUGUGUAUCAGGGAGUGUGUGUGUGUGUGUGUGUGUCUGUCUAUCAGUAAGUGUGUGUUUCUGUCAGUGUGUGUAUGUGUGCCGGUUUGUGUGUCUGUCAGUGACUGUGUGUGUGUG
Non-coding RNA from Pelobates cultripes (western spadefoot toad), 223 nucleotides. The record is from the annotation of a GenBank genome assembly. NCBI's taxonomy places the organism in Eukaryota, Metazoa, Chordata, Amphibia, Anura, Pelobatidae.